GGCUUUGAACGAGAUUGUCCUGUCUCAGCCUCCUGAGUAUCUGGAAUUACAGCCACCAUACUGGAGAGGCGCCGUUCCGAGUCCACAUGUCUAUACCCUGGAGCCACCUGUUUCAGCCCCAGCUGUAUGAGUAAAUAGACUCAGGUUAAGCCUUGUCAAGAUCACAGCUAGGCAGAGGCAGGUUGGUGUCCCCUCUGGGCUAUUCUCUGGAGGGGCAAUAUUCUUUUUAUUGUAGCACAACACCCCCAAGGUUGGGGCUGGGAUGGAAGUCUACAUGGGCCAGAGAUUUUCUAGAACAACAGCCACCUGCCCAGCAUAGUGCAUAUAAAAACAGACCUGGCCACUUCCUUUUGGACAUAAAUACCUGCCAUUCCCAUUUCUACCACUGAUAUGCUCUACCCUCAAGUGCUUGCAUGACUGAGGACAUUCCUGUCAGGGGAGACAGCCUUAUCCUGACAGGCAGACCAUGGAGCAGGGUUGCCAACAUCCAGGAUGGGUUGCAGGAGUCUGCAGGCUGAUUGUGUUGUUUGCUGAGACAAUGAAAUUUCCGGUGGGCAGAUUUCAAGAGGUCCCACCCAAGUGUCACAAGCAAGAAACUGGAUAGCCCUUUCCACUUGGUCCAGUGUGGGGAAAUUUGAGUUUGUUGCCAGGGCCUCUUGGCAAAUUCUCCAUAGGCCUUGUUGAGUCCACUUAAAGCUGAACUUUCUGUCAAACUCGGAGUCAAUAGCCCAGGAGGAGUUUGAAGUCUUAGCACAUAAUUCCUGGCAAAUUUAAAGCAAGAUGUUUUUCUGAAGAAUUGUGCUGAGGUUUCCAAGGUGGAGUUUCAGAACCAAUGACUGGACCCUAAGUGGGGUAGUACUGAGCAAGGAGGUCUAUAGCUGGUGGAAUGUCAGGAAUCCCAGGACAUCUGGUCUGUUUUGCAUCUGCUGCUUCAACCAGUCUGCAUUCUUCCUGUGGGGAGUGAGGGCUCCAGUGAUAGGCCUGGAAACAGGAGACCUCUUUGAUCCUUGUCUCCCACCUCUGCCUGAAGUAGGAUGACUUUGAGUGCUAUACUUCAUGUUCUGGAGCCUUGCCUUUCCAUAAACAAGGGUGACAAGUGCUACCAGACCUGGAAUUCACAUCUUGGAAGAAACAGGGCAAGAGGGACUCAUACUCCAAUACAAAGGAAGGCCCUGAUUUCCCUGAGACAGAAACUUCCUUGCAAAUCUGAGAUCUUUGUUCUGUUAGAACUCCUGCAUGGAUGUGGCUAGCAGCUCUUAUUCAGAAUGAGGGAGCAGUUGUCAUCUGGAGUCCUUAACAUUCCAUGUACUGACAUUCUGAGGUCCUUGGCAAGGACAGUAUUGCUGACAACUUCAUCACAUUGGGAGGUGACAAUUACAAGGCCUCUGUAGAUUCUUUGGACUGCUAAAGGUUUACAGAAGAGGAAACCAUCAGUCUCUGUGACCCUAUGCUCUUCAAACUCAAGGUUCUACUGACACUUGCAAUAGCAUUGAAAACGAGUACAGAUAUUCAUGAGGAUUGAACCCAGGGACACUUAUAUUCCCAGCCCUUUUUAUUUUUUAUUUUGAGUCAGGGUCUCCCUAACUUGCCUCAAACUUGUAAUCCUUCUGCCUCAGCAUUCCCAGGUUCUGGGGUUAUAGGUGUGCACUACCGUGCUUGGCAUGGAAACCCUCUUUCUGUGAGCCUGUGCCUAUCCAUUUUGGGAUCCAGCCAGCCUCCAGAGCAGGGGAGAUGUUAGGAAAAAUGCUUCUGAGACGCUACUGAGUGGCCUCUGCAUUCCAGAUCUGAACUGUGUCCUUGUAUGUCUUUGGGUUCCUUCCAUCCUGCCAGUUGAAAACAUCUUCCCAGACAUAGCAAGUCACUGGUAAAUCCUUAAAGCCAAAACAAAGGAAAGAAAUGCAAAAUACCAAUGGACAGUGUCCAGCUGCUGUGGCAGCAUUCUGAGCGUGGAACUUCCUGCCCCCAUAGGGAAGCAUUUACAGACUGAGGUGCCAAUCUGUAAAACCUCAGCUUUCAUCCAGGGGUAUGGCUGUGUUGCUUGUCUGGCUUAGAGAGUUAGAGGCCUGUACUUCAUCUAGAUUCUAAGCCAUGAUAAUUUGGCUUCAGUUUGGAAAAGCUACAACAGGGCUAUGACUCUAAAUUCUACCUCAUCAGCUUGGCUGUCGAGCAUGGCUGAGCUGAGUGAGUCUAGAUCCCUUUGUGGCCACAAGGCCAAUGCUGCAGCUGGUAUAUUGGCCAUCUGGCAUCUGGGUGACACUGAGAGUUGACAGAUGCUCCCUCUGGUCUGACAGCCAGCACCUCUGGGAGUCAGGCACGAGGAAGGCCUUGGUAUUUAAGGUGGCAAGAAUCCAAGAAGCUCAAGAAGCUGUCCAAGGCUCUGCUCCAGGAAUCUACCUCUACUGUAUGUGAGGCUAAUGUAUCUGGCUGGCCACCUUCACCUGCUGCCUCUGUCUUGCCUCAGGCAUCUCUUGGUAUCCUGGCCUAGAUGCAUUAACUCAGACUGCUGGAGAAAGGCCUGGGCUUCCUCUCCCUUGCAUGUAUCCCCUUUGAGAUGUGCACCCUCAAUGCUGCCCUGAUGGGUGCCCCAAGGGCCCAAUGCCUUCAGCUCCACUCAGCACUCCUUGCCCUGUUCCCCCUGGUUUGCAGCUAAGACCCGGGCUCACUGCUCUGGGGAAAGUUUACUGUUAUAACAGCCAAAAACAUUUCACCUGCAUUUUCUAACCAAACAUCCCUGAGGAAGAGCCAUGACAUUCUUCAUAACACAUCUGAGGAACUGAAGACCAGGUUGAUUCAAUAGGUCAUCCAAGGCCAGCCAGGGGGAACAGGGCAGAUCCUGUGACUCUCCCAGAGCUAGAUGGGAGUCUAGCACUGGUCUCCACUCUGCCUGUGUCUUCUGUUCCAUCAGUCCUGGAAACAAGAUCCUCCCCAUUUUUCAGAAGAAGAAACAGGCAUGGAGAGCACCAGAUCUGAAAGAUUCUUGGUGAAACAGAAAGAAAGGAGCCCAUGGCUGCUACCACCUCCAGUCAGCCCAGCAGUUGUCACAGCCAAGAUCUUGGCAUAACACCCUGGUCUGCAUUCAUAGAUCUGUCGUGCCACAUCCCUGGAUUUCAUUCUCCUUCCUGUCUGCCAGGUGGAAGUGAAUCGGGUACUGACCCACCAGUUGCUGCCCCAUGUGCUUUAGCUCCACGCCCUCCAUGUGUGCUGCUUUAAACCCCAGUGCAAGCUGGAAGUGGAGAGGGAGAGGAAAGGGUGAGUCAGAAGAAGCCCUGAGGAGCUUCCAGACAAUGCAAAUGUCUAGUGACAAACCCUAGAGUGCUUUGUCAAUUCCUGCCUGGGUAAGUCAAAGAUGUUCUGUGCAUAUUGGUUAGGAUGCCUGCCUCUUCUUACAGAAAGGGAGACAAGAAAGGCAUUACUAAUGAUUGAGAAUAUUACAAAACAAUGCACUGCUUGGAUUUGAGAAGCCCUAAGGAGUUGUGCAAUACCUGGGACUGCUCUGCUCUGCCUUUCCUUCCCUGCCUCCUGAGCCACCAAAUAUUAUGAAAAAGGGAUAAUCCUGGGAUAUCCUGGUGGAGCUGGCAGAUAGUAUGCCCUACCAGUUUGGGGAAUGAAUAUGGAGGACCAUCGGGCGGGGUGGUAAGAGCCUCCCCAUGCCCACCAUUUGAGACCCUCUCCCAACAGAGAGGGUUGGGGAUGUUGAUUAUGGAAACUUCAUGGAUCUCCCCCUUAUUGGCAUGUGGGGAGUAGUGGGAGCUCACAUGCUCUCUUCACAGUAUGCUCAGAGCCACUCAAGGGGAAUCCCUUGACCACACAGAUACCCAGAGUUCCAGAAGCUCAUAGAGAGAGCACAGUCUGAAAGUGAUUUCUCUCAGAAGUUGGGCUCAGCCAACUUCCAGGAAAGGAAGAUAAUUCUGACAUGCCUACCAUUUGUCCACAAAAUAGGUGUCUACAGGUAUCCCAACUCCAGUGGUGGAUCCCUGGGAAAGCUGUGUUGAGAAUGAUCCUGAGGACUAGUUUGGGCUCAGUGGGCAAGAGUGCCCUGAUCACUCAGAAUCACUCUCAGUAUUGGAAAAAGAGUUGCAGCAGCUUGAAUAAUAGACCUGCUAUUUCUGCUGUGGUCUCACUAAAGAGUUUCCCACCCUGUCCCCAGAAAAGGACUGGAAAUGCAUAGAAGUAAUGCUAAAAAGCACUAUUAGCAUUUAAUGAAUAGGAGCCAGUGA
This is a non-coding RNA of Ictidomys tridecemlineatus (thirteen-lined ground squirrel), 4217 nucleotides long. Lineage: Eukaryota; Metazoa; Chordata; Mammalia; Rodentia; Sciuridae. The record is from RefSeq and is a predicted model, not a curated record.